UGCCUCAUCCAACCAUUAGUGAUAGAGCUCCACCGCUUGAACUUUUCUCCUCCAAUCUUUGUACAAAUUCUCCUUUGACUGUCCCAAGAGCACCAGUGUUGCAGUCUCACAAGAACAAAAGGGCUCGUAGCUUUAUUUGAGGGUGAGCUCUUUAUGUAUUUGUUUUUAGUUUGGAUUGGCGUUUGUGUGAGAAACUGGAAGUUGGGAGAAUUUGUUUGGCUGGUGAUUUUGGAGAUAACGGUGGAUAGCUAGAUUGAUGUUUUGGAAUCAUUGAAUUUGGAAAGGUAUUUGGCUGUGGUGUUUAACAGGAAACAAGGACAGCAAUGGUCUCUUUGAGUAUUGGUUUUGUGUUCGGUUUUGUAGGAUCUAAGGGCAGAAACAAGAGUAACCGUUCUGUCAUAGUAACCAGUGUCUAAGUACCCAGAGAACCAGAACCAUAGUAUCCAGAUCAUAGUAACCAGAGAACCAUAGUAACAGGUAGCCAAAGUAACCAGUAUCCAUGAAGGAUUUCAAAGUCUCCAUAGUGUUAGUAUCCAAAGUAACCAAGUACAGCAGAGGCCGUCCGCGAGGGGUAUGAAGGCAAUGAUGCCUCCAUCAACAGAACAUAAAGAGAGCUGCGCAAAGAGAAAGAGAAUUUGCCAUCCGAACCUUGUAAAGAAUGAACCGCUCCUUUGUGAUUCUCCUUGCUUCCUUCUCCCGUUGUUGUUUUUUCUUCUGUCGUUCUCCUCUCUCGUCCUCUGCCUCUCCUCCUCUUUUUUUUGAAGGUAUUGGCCUCUUUUUUUUUACAUAUGUAUAAGAGUUGUCACAAAAACAACUUUUAUACAACAAAACAUCUAGUCUUGUAUUCUACCUAAAAUAUAAAUGCUCUAAUUGUUUUGAUUUGUAAGAUUCAAGAUGUAGAAGAAAAGUCAAAAAUGGAGGGCAAAAAAUUAUUUACCGAGAGAGAGUCUAUCUAAAAAAAUCUAAAUUACAUGUUUCAGAAUAAAAAAAAAGAACAAAAAAAAACACUGUUCAUAUGCUUAUGAUAUGAACAGUUAACCACUCUCCCUCUCUCUGAGAUUUUUUGAAGCCCUAAAACUAAUCAAACACAGAACUCAGAGAAAGUGAUCCUCACCCUAGUAAUCGCAGUUAUUUCACGCAGAGGGGUUUUAGGGUACCAAGAAGGCAACACACUGUUCGAUCUCUGUCCCCUUCUCCGGCUAAGACCUCUGACCGGCGGCGUAUUCUCUCUGGCGGGAGUCAUCAUCCCAAACGCACUAUGUGCAUGCUCGAUUCCGGUACUCGGAGUCCUCAAACUGCUCGGUGCCACUCCACCGCCUGUCUCCCAAAUCCCUAGAGGCCGCUCAGUCAUCGGAGUAACCGCCUCCCUAAGGCUCCUCGGCUCUGGACGAAGAACAGAGAGCGGAGAGAAAAAAAGGGAUUGAACUGAUCAUUCAAGGAAGCGAUCUCUCUUCUCUUUUCGAAAAGGGCAGAAACGAAGAGGGAGAGGACGCAUAGAGACGAAGAAAAGACGAUUCGGUGGAGUUUCGAGAGAGAUCGAGAGGGAGCAGGAAAAAAAUCAGAAUACGGAGACGCAGGCCCAAGCCCGAGCAAGAGACCAGGGAGAAAAGAAAAAAGCCCAAGCCUAACUGUCACUGUUCACGGGAACAGUAAAGCGACAU
RNA transcript from Fragaria vesca subsp. vesca, 1661 nucleotides. RefSeq lists it as uncharacterized. Lineage: Eukaryota; Viridiplantae; Streptophyta; Magnoliopsida; Rosales; Rosaceae. The record is from RefSeq and is a predicted model, not a curated record. The transcript has 2 exons.